AUUGAACGCUGGCGGCAGGCCUAACACAUGCAAGUCGAACGAGUGGCGGACGGGUGAGUAAUGUCUGGGAAACUGCCUGAUGGAGGGGGAUAACUACUGGAAACGGUAGCUAAUACCGCAUACCAUCAGAUGUGCCCAGAUGGGAUUAGCUAGUUGGUGGGGUAACGGCUCACAAAGGCGGCGAUCCCUAGCUGGUCUGAGAGGAUGACGGGCCAAGCUGGAACUGAUACACGGUCCAGACUCCUACGGGAGGAGGCGGUGGGGAAUAUUGCACAAUGGGCGCAAGCCUGAUGCAGCCAUGCCGGGGGUAUGAAGAAGGCCUUCGGGUUGUAAAGUACUUUCAGCGGGGAGGCGUUACCCGCAGAAGAAGCACCGGCUAACUCCGUGCCAGCAGCCGCGGUAAUUC
Molecule: ribosomal RNA, 406 nt
Filed under: uncultured bacterium
Lineage: Bacteria
Description: partial 16S ribosomal RNA
Rfam family: Bacterial small subunit ribosomal RNA
Source: RNAcentral